RNAcentral lists this ribosomal RNA (519 nucleotides) under uncultured eukaryote. RNAcentral's name for it is "bacterial SSU rRNA". It matches the Rfam family "Eukaryotic small subunit ribosomal RNA", at positions 1161 to 1650 of the family's 1831-position model. The record is from RNAcentral.
AGGGCACCACCAGGAGUGGAGCCUGCGGCUUAAUUUGACUCAACACGGGAAAACUUACCUGGUCAGGACACUGGAAGGAUUGACAGAUUGAGAGCUCUUUCUUGAUUCAGUGGGUGGUGGUGCAUGGCCGUUCUUAGUUGGUGGAGCGAUUUGUCUGGUUAAUUCCGAUAACGAACGAUACUCUAGCCUACUAAAUAGACUGCUCAACUUUAUAGCUGCAUCACCUUGCAGUGGCUUCGGUUGCUGUAAGGCUGUGGUGACGUUGGCAGUGCUUCUUAGAGGGACAGGCGGCGGUUCAGCCGCACGAAACAGAGCAAUAACAGGUCUGUGAUGCCCUUAGAUGUCCAGGGCCGCACGCGCGCUACACUGAAGUGAUCAGCGUGCAAUUAACGUUUCCUACUCCGUCAGGAGUGGGUAACCCGUUGAACCUUCUUCGUGAUUGGGAUAGGGGAUUGUAAUUAUUCCCCUUGAACGAGGAAUUCCCAGUAAGCGCAAGUCAUAAGCUUGCGUUGAUUACGU